This 79-nucleotide non-coding RNA is filed under the name unclassified sequences. RNAcentral's name for it is "skipping-rope RNA". It matches the Rfam family "skipping-rope RNA". From Rfam's summary of the family: Firmicutes, Fusobacteria, AlphaProteobacteria, Spirochaetes. Downstream gene The record is from Rfam by way of RNAcentral.
GAGUCAUGAGGUGGACAACAGCUUCCACGCACCCUUUGGGUUAAAAGAGAUGCGAGAACAGCUGGCCUCGCCAUGACUC